AGACCCGAAACCCGGUGAUCUAGCCAUGGGCAGGUUGAAGGUUGGGUAACACUAACUGGAGGACCGAACCGACUAAUGUUGAAAAAUUAGCGGAUGACCUGUGGCUGGGGGUGAAAGGCCAAUCAAACCGGGAGAUAGCUGGUUCUCCCCGAAAGCUAUUUAGGUAGCGCCUCGUGAAUUCAUCUCCGGGGGUAGAGCACUGUUUCGGCUAGGGGGCCAUCCCGGCUUACCAACCCGAUGCAAACUGCGAAUACCGGAGAAUGUUAUCACGGGAGACACACGGCGGGUGCUAACGUCCGUCGUGAAGAGGGAAACAACCCAGACCGCCAGCUAAGGUCCCAAAGUCAUGGUUAAGUGGGAAACGAUGUGGGAAGGCCCAGACAGCCAGGAUGUUGGCUUAGAAGCAGCCAUCAUUUAAAGAAAGCGUAAUAGCUCACUGGUCGAGUCGGCCUGCGCGGAAGAUGUAACGGGGCUAAACCAUGCACCGAAGCUGCGGCAGCGAACGUAUCACCCAAGACAACUUUACGGAGUUGACGAUUGACGGAGCGAAGCGACGUCAAAGCGUUCAUUAAAGUCGAGUUGGCUUAGGGAUACGUUCGUUGGGUAGGGGAGCGUUCUGUAAGCCUGUGAAGGUGUGUCGUGAGGCAUGCUGGAGGUAUCAGAAGUGCGAAUGCUGACAUAAGUAACGAUAAAGCGGGUGAAAAGCCCGCUCGCCGGAAGACCAAGGGUUCCUGUCCAACGUUAAUCGGGGCAGGGUGAGUCGACCCCUAAGGCGAGGCCGAAAGGCGUAGUCGAUGGGAAACGGGUUAAUAUUCCCGUACUUGGUGUUACUGCGAAGGGGGGACGGAGAAGGCUAUGUUGGCCGGGCGACGGUUGUCCCGGUUUAAGCGUGUAGGUGUGUGUUCCAGGUAAAUCCGGUUCACUUUAACACUGAGGCGUGACGACGAGGCACUACGGUGCUGAAGCAACAAAUGCCCUGCUUCCAGGAAAAGCCUCUAAGCAUCAGGUAACACGAAAUCGUACCCCAAACCGACACAGGUGGUCAGGUAGAGAAUACCAAGGCGCUUGAGAGAACUCGGGUGAAGGAACUA
RNAcentral lists this ribosomal RNA (1091 nucleotides) under Salmonella enterica. Its description in RNAcentral is "partial 23S ribosomal RNA". It matches the Rfam family "Bacterial large subunit ribosomal RNA", at positions 711 to 1715 of the family's 2925-position model. RNAcentral also lists the same sequence under 2 other names. Lineage: Bacteria; Pseudomonadati; Pseudomonadota; Gammaproteobacteria; Enterobacterales; Enterobacteriaceae. The record is from RNAcentral.